AAAGAGGGAGCUGCAGGGCAGAGGAGUUCAGUUCUCUGCUGGGAGCCCAGGAAGGAAGGACUGUGUCUUUGGAGGGCUGAGAGAACUGCCAGCAACCUGGACAGAGCAGUGCUAUGAGCAGGGACAGGGGGAGUGAGAGACAGCUCCUGGCCAGUUGCUGGGGUUUGCAGGCUGAGGCCUUGAGGCAAGGGCAAAGAGAAUGCUGGGGCCACGAGGAAGUGGCCAGACAAUUCACUGCAGUAGCCACUAAGGGAAGUGGCUGAACAGCAGACUGCAGGUCCACCGGAAGGGGGGAGCACAGUGUGUGGCACAGACAGAGGGCUGUGUCGCUGAAGAGGACGCUGCAGUCCUUGGAGAGACAUGGGUUCUAGAGCAGGAGUGAUGACAGCAAGACGCCACCUGAAGAGGGCGCAGAGCUAAUUCCCAAGACAGCCAGGAGGAGGCACCACUGUGGUGCUGCUGAGGUGGUGACCACGCUACUCACCGAAACUCAAUGGUGUUUUGUCAUUGCCAGACCUGUUUUUACACCUGCCUUCUGCGGGUGGUCUCAGUGCUCCUUGAACAGCAGCAGCAGCUUCGCAGGCAGGUCAAUGCCCGAGACUCUGCUGCUGUGUGAAGGAAUCUUCAACCCACCUGUGCUUUUCGGUGACCGGUCUCUCUUCUACGGAGGAACAGGACUUUGAGAUCGCAUAGCCAGGUCUACUUCUAAAACAAGGGGUUUAAGUAAAUCAAGGAGAUAGAUGGGGCUUUCAAGGCUACCGCUAUGGAUUCUCUAGGCAAAUGUCAAAGCAAAAUUGUUCAUCGUGAUGCUCUUGCAUGAAUGAAGCCACUGGAAACAAGGGUAGACUACAGAUCUAACCAAAUGUGUUAUACAAACUCUGCUUGUGGAUGCAAAUCUCUGGGACAGCAAGCAGGAAGAGACCUUUACUGCAUAAAAGUGUCUGCACCUCCGAUAUGGCAGCAUUGGGACAGAACAG
Chrysemys picta bellii (western painted turtle) is the source of this 977-nucleotide long non-coding RNA. RefSeq lists it as uncharacterized. NCBI's taxonomy places the organism in Eukaryota, Metazoa, Chordata, Testudines, Emydidae. The record is from RefSeq and is a predicted model, not a curated record.